CCCUUAGAUGUUCUGGGCCGCACGCGCGCUACACUGAUUCAUGCAACAAGUUUUGUCCUUGGCCGACAGGCCCGGGCAAUCUUUGAACGCUGGUCGUGAUGGGGAUAGACUUUUGCAAUUUUUGGUCUUCAACGAGGAAUUCCUAGUAAACGCAAGUCAUCAACUUGCAUUGAUUACGUCCCUGCCCUUUGUACACACCGCCCGUCGCACCUACCGAUUGAAUGGUCCGGUGAAGCCUCCGGAUUGGCGCGCACCUCGGUGCCGCCGAGAAGUUGGCUAAACCUUACCAUUUAGAGGAAGGUGAAGUCGUNACA
RNAcentral lists this ribosomal RNA (314 nucleotides) under uncultured eukaryote. Its description in RNAcentral is "partial 18S ribosomal RNA". It matches the Rfam family "Eukaryotic small subunit ribosomal RNA", at positions 1470 to 1796 of the family's 1831-position model. The record is from RNAcentral.